GGGUUUGUCAAGUUGUAUUUAAAAAGGUUUGUGUCUGUGCUCUCUUCACAAAUUCCUCUCUGCCUCCAUCUCAACAUCUCUACUUCAGAAAGUUUUCAUACAAUCUUGCCAACAUGGCCCACCUCAGAGAGGCAUUGGAAUUGCUCACAGACACAUUCAAAGAAUACGCUGGAAGGGGUGGAGACAAAAACACUAUGUCCAAAGCAGAAAUUCGUGUCAUGCUCCGAAAGGAGUUUCCCAAUGCAAACAUGGACACAGCUGAAAUGAAGCAUUUCUUCAAUAAGAUGGAUGCCGAUGGUGAUGGUGUUGUUUCUUUCAAAGAGUUUGUCCUUAUUGUAAAAGACUUCAAACUGAUUUACACUUAAGAAUAAAUGAUUUGGCCACAUUGCAUCAGUGGCGGAUGAUGUUGGUGUAAACUGGCAAAUAAAUAACAGUGCCAGAU
This is a long non-coding RNA of Epinephelus lanceolatus (giant grouper), 442 nucleotides long. RefSeq lists it as uncharacterized. Lineage: Eukaryota; Metazoa; Chordata; Actinopteri; Perciformes; Serranidae. The record is from RefSeq and is a predicted model, not a curated record.